AUUGAACGCUGGCGGCAUGCCUUACACAUGCAAGUCGAACGGAUCAGAGGAGCUUGCUCUUCUGGUUAGUGGCGAACGGGUGAGUAAUGCAUCGGAACGUACCCAGUAGUGGGGGAUAACGUAGCGAAAGUUACGCUAAUACCGCAUACGACCUGAGGGUGAAAGCAGGGGAUCGCAAGACCUUGCGCUAUUGGAGCGGCCGAUGUCGGAUUAGCUAGUUGGUAGGGUAAAAGCCUACCAAGGCGACGAUCCGUAGCUGGUCUGAGAGGACGACCAGCCACACUGGGACUGAGACACGGCCCAGACUCCUACGGGAGGCAGCAGUGGGGAAUUUUGGACAAUGGGGGAAACCCUGAUCCAGCCAUGCCGCGUGAGUGAAGAAGGCCUUCGGGUUGUAAAGCUCUUUCAGACGGAAAGAAAUCUUCCGGGCUAAUACCUCGGGAGGAUGACGGUACCGUAAGAAGAAGCACCGGCUAACUACGUGCCAGCCGCCGCAGUAA
RNAcentral lists this ribosomal RNA (500 nucleotides) under uncultured bacterium. RNAcentral describes it as "partial 16S ribosomal RNA". It matches the Rfam family "Bacterial small subunit ribosomal RNA", at positions 30 to 523 of the family's 1533-position model. The record is from RNAcentral.